Molecule: ribosomal RNA, 449 nt
Filed under: uncultured bacterium
Lineage: Bacteria
Description: bacterial SSU rRNA
Rfam family: Bacterial small subunit ribosomal RNA
Source: RNAcentral
UUCGCAGUGACAGGCCUGAGGUUAUCUCUUGGGUAACCUGCCUGUAAGACUGGGAUAACUCCGGGAAACCGGGGCUAAUACCGGAUAAUCCUUUCCCCCUCAUGGGGGAAAGCUGAAAGACGGUUUCGGCUGUCACUUACAGAUGGGCCCGCGGCGCAUUAGCUAGUUGGUGAGGUAACGGCUCACCAAGGCGACGAUGCGUAGCCGACCUGAGAGGGUGAUCGGCCACACUGGGACUGAGACACGGCCCAGACUCCUACGGGAGGCAGCAGUAGGGAAUCUUCCGCAAUGGACGAAAGUCUGACGGAGCAACGCCGCGUGAGCGAUGAAGGCCUUCGGGUCGUAAAGCUCUGUUGUCAGGGAAGAACAAGUGCCGGAGUCACUGCCGGCACCUUGACGGUACCUGACCAGAAAGCCACGGCUAACUACGUGCCAGCCGGCCGCGGUAU